GGUUUCGUGGUGUAGUUGGUUCAAUACCAGUCUGACGCAUUGGUAGUCCCCGGUUCGAGCACAGUCAAAGUCA
Non-coding RNA from Tuber borchii (whitish truffle), 73 nucleotides. NCBI's taxonomy places the organism in Eukaryota, Fungi, Ascomycota, Pezizomycetes, Pezizales, Tuberaceae. The record is from the annotation of a GenBank genome assembly.